AUUGAACGCUGGCGGCAGGCUUAACACAUGCAAGUCGAACGGUAACGGGUUGAAAGCUUGCUUUCAAUGCUGACGAGUGGCGGACGGGUGAGUAAGGCUUGGGGAUCUGGCUUUUGGAGGGGGAUAACCAUUGGAAACGAUGGCUAAUACCGCAUAGUAUCGAGAGAUGAAAGGGGUGGGAAACCACUUGCCAAGGGAUGAACCCAAGUGAGAUUAGGUAGUUGGUGGGGUAAAGGCCUACCAAGCCGACGAUCUCUAGCUGGUCUGAGAGGAUGGCCAGCCACACUGGGACUGAGACACGGCCCAGACUCCUACGGGAGGCAGCAGUGGGGAAUAUUGCGCAAUGGGGGGAACCCUGACGCAGCCAUGCCGCGUGAAUGAAGAAGGCCUUCGGGUUGUAAAGUUCUUUCGGUGGUGAGGAAGGUGGUAGUGUUAAUAGCGCUAUUGUUUGACGUUAGCCACAGAAGAAGCACCGGCUAACUCCGUGCCAGCAGCCGCGGUAAUACGGAGGGUGCGAGCGUUAAUCGGAAUAACUGGGCGUAAAGGGCACGCAGGCGGGACGUUAAGUGAGAUGUGAAAGCCCCGGGCUUAACCUGGGAACAGCAUUUCAUACUGGCGUACUAGAGUACUUUAGGGAGGGGUAGAAUUCCACGUGUAGCGGUGAAAUGCGUAGAGAUGUGGAGGAAUACCGAAAGCGAAGGCAGCCCCUUGGGAAGAUACUGACGCUCAUGUGCGAAAGUGUGGGUAGCAAACAGG
Molecule: ribosomal RNA, 756 nt
Filed under: uncultured bacterium
Lineage: Bacteria
Description: bacterial SSU rRNA
Rfam family: Bacterial small subunit ribosomal RNA
Source: RNAcentral